GUGAAUCAUCGAAUCUUUGAACGCAUAUUGCGCCUGAGGCCUCGGCCGAGGGCAUGUCUGCCUCAGCGUCGGUAUAACCCCAUCACCCACAAACCUUGUGAGUGGACUUGGCAGUCCCAGUCCGGGUCUGCCGAAUUGCAGCAGUUGCUAUCAGGACCCGCCUUAGGCGUGGCCAUUCAGUUUGGUAGGUAACCCCUGGUUGCAUGCCACUGUUGGCCAUUGUGGCUUGUGUAGCAUACUGGCAGGAAACUAAGGGCCUCGAGCCCUUUCUCAUUUCGACCUGAGGUCAGGCAAGAUUAC
RNAcentral lists this unclassified non-coding RNA (300 nucleotides) under uncultured fungus. Its description in RNAcentral is "sequence contains 5.8S rRNA gene, ITS2". The stretch from base 1 to 71 matches the Rfam family "5.8S ribosomal RNA", at positions 84 to 154 of the family's 154-position model. The record is from RNAcentral. Lineage: Eukaryota; Fungi.